Molecule: ribosomal RNA, 449 nt
Filed under: uncultured bacterium
Lineage: Bacteria
Description: bacterial SSU rRNA
Rfam family: Bacterial small subunit ribosomal RNA
Source: RNAcentral
UGCCAGACUCCUACGGGAGGCAGCAGUGGGGAAUAUUGGGCAAUGGAGGAAACUCUUACCCAGCAAUGCCGCGUGAAUGAAGAAGGUCUUCGGAUUGUAAAGUUCUUUAAUUGGGGACGAAAAAAAUGACGGUACCCAAGGAAUAAGCCCCGGCUAACUACGUGCCAGCAGCCGCGGUAAUACGUAGGGGGCAAGCGUUAUCCGGAUUUACUGGGUGUAAAGGGAGCGUAGACGGCAUGGCAAGUCAGAUGUGAAAGCCCGGGGCUCAACCCCGGGACUGCAUUUGAAACUGUCAGGCUGGAGUGCAGGAGAGGUAAGUGGAAUUCCUAGUGUAGCGGUGAAAUGCGUAGAUAUUAGGAGGAACACCAGUGGCGAAGGCGACUUACUGGACUGUAACUGACGUUGAGGCUCGAAAGCGUGGGGAGCAAACAGGAUUAGAUACCCUUGUA